Pelobates cultripes (western spadefoot toad) is the source of this 408-nucleotide non-coding RNA. Lineage: Eukaryota; Metazoa; Chordata; Amphibia; Anura; Pelobatidae. The record is from the annotation of a GenBank genome assembly.
GUCACUUUUAUCGAUACGAACAGCUGCCACUAUUCUACCUGGUUAAAUGGGAUUCCUAAAAUUCAACGUAUUCAAUUAAAACAAAAUUGCACUAAUGCAGAACUUUUCUCCAAACACGCCUAUUUCCUCAAGAUAAACUCGAGAAGAAAUAUGAAAAAUGGCUAGAUCUUAGGUCAAGGGCAGGGUCUUCUUUACCUUUUGUAGUGGUCUGUGCAUAGUGUAUAUGCUACCCUAAAUGUACAGCGCUGCAGAACAUAUUGGCACUUCAUAAAUGCCAGUAAUACAUAAAGACAUUGGACUACUGGACAGAAAAAUUACCCCAAUAUCAGAAUCUGAAAAAAUAGGACAUUACAGUACCUCUUAUUACUCAUUCCAAUGUACAUGUAUAAUGACUCGACCAUUUUUUUG